GCAAGAAUCUUCCGCAAUGGGCGAAAGCCUGACGGAGCCACGCCGCGUGGAGGAAGAAGGCCGUGAGGUUGUAAACUCCUUUUCUGCGUGAGGAAUAAACGCCGGAGGGAAUGCCGGUGUGAUGACGGUAGCGCAGGAAUAAGCCCCGGCCAAUUACGUGCCAGCAGCCGCGGUAAUACGUAUGGGGCGAGCGUUGUUCGGAAUCAUUGGGCGUAAAGGGCGCGCAGGCGGCCAUGCAAGCCUGGUGUGAAAUCCCACAGCUCAACUGUGGGCUCGCGCUGGGAACUGUGUGGCUUGAGUUCCGGAGGGGGAGCUGGAAUUCCUGGUGUAGGGGUGAAAUCUGUAGAUAUCAGGAAGAACACCGGCGGCGAAGGCGAGCUCCUGGCCGUGAACUGACGCUGAGGCGCGAAAGCGUGGGGAGCAAACA
This 427-nucleotide ribosomal RNA is filed under the name uncultured bacterium. RNAcentral describes it as "bacterial SSU rRNA". It matches the Rfam family "Bacterial small subunit ribosomal RNA", at positions 355 to 774 of the family's 1533-position model. The record is from RNAcentral.